GUGCUAGCUUUGGCAGCACACACACUAAAACUGGAAUAAUACUGAGAAGAUUAGCAUGGUCCCUGCCCAAGGAUGAUAGGCAAUCCGUGAAGUGUUUCAUGUUUUU
Molecule: small nuclear RNA, 106 nt
Organism: Piliocolobus tephrosceles (Ugandan red Colobus)
Lineage: Eukaryota; Metazoa; Chordata; Mammalia; Primates; Cercopithecidae
Source: Ensembl